UCCCUUAGAUGUCCUGGGCCGCACGCGCGUUACACUGAUGCAUUCAACGAGCUUAUAACCUUGGCCGAGAGGCCUGGGCAAUCUUGUUAACGUGCAUCGUGAUAGGGAUAGAUUAUUGAAAUUAUUAAUCUUGAACGAGGAAUUCCUAGUAAACGCAGAUCAUCAAUCUGCAUUGAUUACGUCCCUGCCCUUUGUACACACCGCCCGUCGCACCUACCGAUUGGAUGGUCCGGUGAAGCCUCGGGAUUGUGGUUCUUGCCGCUUUAUUGUGGCGUGACCGCGAGAACUUGUCUAAACCUUAUCAUCUAGAGGAAGGUGAAGUCGUANCA
Molecule: ribosomal RNA, 329 nt
Filed under: uncultured eukaryote
Lineage: Eukaryota
Description: partial 18S ribosomal RNA
Rfam family: Eukaryotic small subunit ribosomal RNA
Source: RNAcentral